Molecule: non-coding RNA, 103 nt
Organism: Punica granatum (pomegranate)
Lineage: Eukaryota; Viridiplantae; Streptophyta; Magnoliopsida; Myrtales; Lythraceae
Source: Rfam
AAGAGUGCAGUGAUGAUGAUUUUUAUAUUGUGGACUAGAGUUUCUGAUGUGGGCUUCUUCUCCCACUAGUUGAAGACUAGCCCUUGGCUGUCUGAGCAUUCUU